Molecule: unclassified non-coding RNA, 1205 nt
Filed under: Hevea brasiliensis (rubber tree)
Lineage: Eukaryota; Viridiplantae; Streptophyta; Magnoliopsida; Malpighiales; Euphorbiaceae
Source: RNAcentral
UUUUUUUUUUUUUUUUUUUUUUUUGUUCUUUUCCUUUUCAUACAUUUCCCAAUUCUCUACAUGCAGCUUUCAUCUUUGAAAGCCUCUCAUCCAAAUUUCUUAAAUAGCAUUUGGGAUGAGAACCACCUACAUCUAGGACACUUGCACUACAUGCCACCUCUUCCUACAAUGGUGCCCUUGUAAAAUUACAAGCCAAAAUUAAAGAAAAAAAAAAUAAUAACAUGGGAAAAAGAAAAAAAGAAAACUACAGCUGCCUACACUUUACAGAAGCCCCUUUGAAUGAAGUAUUACUUGAAAAGAACCUAAUCCCCAUUCGAUUCAACCAUGAUGCUUUCAUCUCUCCAGAGCCCGUGCACUGACCCUCGCCUUCCUCUUCACUGCUAAAGAGGGUUUGGUCCGAGCAGUCGAGUGAUGCUCCACACGCUAAAUUAUACGACUGACAUGCUGAAUGGCAUACCCGAAGCCUGUCAUAGCCAUCCUUGUCACACUUUUGGAUGGAGAUCCAGCAGGCUAGUCGCUUAGCAACUGUAUCACAGUAGCUGCUGCCGAAGACAUUAAAUAACUUCCGGGCACCACCAGGGAACAACCGAUGGUAGUUAGGCAUGACAACUACUUCUUCUAGCUGCUGGAGUAUACUUGGUUCACUGGGUGCACAAUGUUGACUGAACAUAUCGCUCUCCAGCACAUUUCUGCAAACUGAAAGGCUAGAGAGAAGUGUUGAGCUAUUCUGACAAGUAUAUCCCGCAUAAUCUGAGCAUCGGAAUUCGCAAACUCCAUUAUCACAGACCCCACCAUGAAGACUGCACUGUUCAUCACAAGCAGCAGUAGAACAGUCAAUGCCAGUGUAACCUUUUUUGCAUUUACAGACCCCAUUUGAAAGGCAGAUGCCACGCCCAUUGCAAUUAUUAGGGCAGGACCGUCUGCUACAAUCAUGACCAUGAAAUCCCAGGAAACAGUGACACUUUCCAUCAAUACAGUCUCCAUUAAAAUUACAUGAACUGGGGCAUUGCCCAUGUACAGGAACUGAACUCAUAAUACAGAGUUCAUGGUAAGCAGGGCAAAUAAGCUCACCAUUGAANNNNNNNNNNGGAACUGAACUGGUCCGCCAGCUUCAGGACACACUUUCCACAUACCAUCCACAGCAACCUCAAGAGAGUUGUUUACACAUCUGUGCUGAUAACAACCAUUUCCUUGGGUUACAGAAC